UACGGGGGGAGCAAGCGUUGUCCGGAUUUACUGGGCGUAAAGGGCGCGUAGGCGGCUCGGCAAGUCGGGCGUGAAAGGCCUGGGCUCAACCGAGGAACUGCUUUCGAGACUGCCGAGCUAGAGUGCGGAAGGGGCAACUGGAAUUCCCAGUGUAGCGGUGAAAUGCGUAGAUAUCAGGAGGAACACCAAUUGCGAAGGCAGCUCGCUGGGACGUAACUGACGCUGAGACGCGAAAGCGUGGGGAGCAAACAGG
RNAcentral lists this ribosomal RNA (253 nucleotides) under uncultured bacterium. RNAcentral describes it as "partial 16S ribosomal RNA". It matches the Rfam family "Bacterial small subunit ribosomal RNA", at positions 524 to 776 of the family's 1533-position model. The record is from RNAcentral.